RNAcentral lists this unclassified non-coding RNA (218 nucleotides) under Glomus sp. Its description in RNAcentral is "partial contains 5.8S ribosomal RNA and internal transcribed spacer 2". The stretch from base 1 to 65 matches the Rfam family "5.8S ribosomal RNA", at positions 84 to 154 of the family's 154-position model. The record is from RNAcentral. Lineage: Eukaryota; Fungi; Glomeromycota; Glomeromycetes; Glomerales; Glomeraceae.
GUGAAUCAUCAAAUUUUUGAACGCAAAUUGCACUCUCCUCGGAGAGUAUGCCUGUUUGAGGGUCAGCCUAAAAAAAAUCGACAUCGUUGCGCUUUCUCGGUGACGUUCGCCGGAAAUUGGGUCUUCUUAAACCUUUUGGUUUAAAGCGCUUUAAAAUUUUCUUUACGAUUCCACAACCGUUCCUAAGAUUUAUUUAAACGUUUACGUUAUCGAUCUUU